AUGAACGCUGGCGGCGUGCCUCAUACAUGCAAGUCGAGCGAACGGACGAGAAGCUUGCUUCUCUGAUGUUAGCGGCGGACGGGUGAGUAACACGUGGAUAACCUACCUAUAAGACUGGGAUAACUUCGGGAAACCGUAGCUAAUACCGGAUAAUAUUUUGAACCGCAUGGUUCAAAAGUGAAAGACGGUCUUGCUGUCACUUAUAGAUGGAUCCGCGCUGCAUUAGCUAGUUGGUAAGGUAACGGCUUACCAAGGCAACGAUGCAUAGCCGACCUGAGAGGGUGAUCGGCCACACUGGAACUGAGACACGGUCCAGACUCCUACGGGAGGCAGCAGUAGAGAAUCUUCCGCAAUGGGCGAAAGCCUGACGGAGCAACGCCGCGUGAGUGAUGAAGGUCUUCGGAUCGUAAAACUCUGUUAUUAGGGAAGAACAUAUGUGUAAGUAACUGUGCACAUCUUGACGGUACCUAAUCAGAAAGCCACGGCUAACUACGUG
This 496-nucleotide ribosomal RNA is filed under the name uncultured bacterium. RNAcentral describes it as "partial 16S ribosomal RNA". It matches the Rfam family "Bacterial small subunit ribosomal RNA", at positions 29 to 507 of the family's 1533-position model. The record is from RNAcentral.